UACGUAGGGGGCAAGCGUUGUCCGGAUUUACUGGGCGUAAAGAGCGUGUAGGCGGCCAAGCAGGUCCGUUGUGAAAACUGGAGGCUUAACCUCCAGACGUCGACGGAAACCGCGUGGCUAGAGUCCGGAAGAGGAGAGUGGAAUUCCUGGUGUAGCGGUGAAAUGCGCAGAUAUCAGGAAGAACACCAGUGGCGAAGGCGGCUCACUGGCCCGGUACUGACGCUGAGGUGCGAAAGCGUGGGGAGCAAACAGG
Molecule: ribosomal RNA, 253 nt
Filed under: uncultured bacterium
Lineage: Bacteria
Description: partial 16S ribosomal RNA
Rfam family: Bacterial small subunit ribosomal RNA
Source: RNAcentral